UCUCUUAGCCAGGAGGGGAGAUGGGAUAAUCGUGAAGGUGGUUUUCCCACAAUGAGACUCAUCCAUUGUGCUCCAGGUGUGCUGACCCCUGUAAAGUCCCCAGAUGUGGGAAACUCUACUGCAUAAUCUAUGGUAAUUACACCAAUAGUAUCCUAUUAA
Molecule: small nuclear RNA, 159 nt
Filed under: Procavia capensis (Cape rock hyrax)
Lineage: Eukaryota; Metazoa; Chordata; Mammalia; Hyracoidea; Procaviidae
Description: U1 spliceosomal RNA (ENSPCAG00000019343.1)
Rfam family: U1 spliceosomal RNA
About the family: U1 is a small nuclear RNA (snRNA) component of the spliceosome (involved in pre-mRNA splicing). Its 5' end forms complementary base pairs with the 5' splice junction, thus defining the 5' donor site of an intron.
Source: RNAcentral